This is a non-coding RNA of Pelobates cultripes (western spadefoot toad), 4328 nucleotides long. NCBI's taxonomy places the organism in Eukaryota, Metazoa, Chordata, Amphibia, Anura, Pelobatidae. The record is from the annotation of a GenBank genome assembly.
AUGGAAUCGAACACUAAAAGGAUUGGAAUAGGGAGAAAAUUAGCCCCUUUAACAAUCUGGCAAUACACCGUGAGAAAAAGCUGUCACUUAACAGCAAAAAAAAGACAAAAUUUGUAAAAAUGCCAACAGGUACAUUUUUGUUACCAAUCAACGAAGAAACAGCUUGACAGGUAGGUAACAAAAAACAAUGAAUACAGUGGUUGUCAAGUUUUGCAACACCCGUGGUAACUUGAAACUUUAGCCUAAACUGUCAGAAAUUCUAAGAGAAUUUUAGAUAUUAGAUGAAAAUAGCUGAAAUGAACAAUAUUAAUCACUUCCUGAAUUCCUGAUAAUUCACACUUUGGUGAAUAACCUUGUAUAUAUUUUUAUGGUCUGAUUGUAAGUUUACACUUAGAUGUUUAUUAACAGAUAUUUCAAUUUAACUGAAGAUCUGCCUUGCGAAAUUGAGGAUAAAACAGUAGCAUUGUAAAGAAUUUUGUUAGUGAGUUUUCAAGUCAUCAUAAAUCUUGCUGUUUGGUGAAUAUAAGUGGUUUUUGUGUUUGUUUUGUGACUGUAUUUUAAAUGUUGCAUGCAAUGCUUUGGCUAAGUUGUCCUGAACGUAGUUCUGGUUUGUUAACAAGGUUUGUGGGUUAGUGUUUUAAUUUUAGUGCUCUAGAGCAGGCUUCCCAAAACUUCCGGCCCUCCAGAUGUUGCUGAACUACAACUCCUAUGAUUCUCAGCCUAUCUAUUUCAUUCAUAGAAUCAUGAGAGUUGUAGUUUAGCAACAUCUGGAGGGCCGGAGUUUGGGGAAGCCUGCUCUAGAGGGUUAAUUCAAGCAUCAUAACCACUACAGUAAUUUGAAGUGGUCAUGGCGCCUGGAAUCUGUAUGUACACAAUUUGAUGUGAAGCUUUGCACAUACAGAAAUUAACCCCUUAGCUGCCAGAUGUGUAACUCCACCUUUGGCAGCUAACCAAAUAGGAACAGGCUUUCAAGAUAGACGAUGAAGGCCUUUCACAGUCAAAACGUCAGCAGUCACGGCAGGCUGGCAUCAGACAGACAAUGGUGGCACGGUCGCAUCUAUGCCACCCUUGCCCUGCUCUCAGUUAGAGGCAGUCGUCCCUGACUGCCCUCCCCCUCCGUGAAAAUACAUUUUUAAAAAGAAAUUCAUUAUUUUUAAUAUGAGCCAAAGAGGCAGUGUAUGCAUCAAAUGUAAUCUGUAAUAAACAAUUACAUGAGCCAAUCUAAGUGGGCAAAGUAGUAUCUCACAAUAUCAUGUGCCAUCUUGACUGUGCCGGUGGCUCAUAUUAGUUUUAACUAAUAUUUAAAUGAUAAACUAGGAUGAAUAGGGAAGGGGAAUGAAGAGGGGACCGGGAUACCCACCGCGAUGGGGAUCUUACAUUGAAAUCAUGCUUCCUAACUAUAAAGAUGCAUCCACACUUUUUCAAAAGAAGGGACGGUGUUAUAUAAUGGUGCCAUCCAGUGGUCCGUUACAUGAUUUUCUUGAAGCUCGGCCCUCAUUUCAUUAAUUAGUGGAACUGACGUCCCUGGCCAAUUGCAAUAUUUUUUAAAUGUGCUCUGGAAACUACACCAUUGAAUUCUACAUAGAAAAUCACCUAUAAAAUGUGUUAACCUAUUUUUUGCACGUCAUGCUUCCUUGUCUUUUAAAUUUUUAUUAAAGAUUAGCAAUUGACGUCACAAUCCAGUUUCAUCUAAGCACAAUCAGAGAACAUAAGUAUUGGAGAAGCCGAUACAGAAACAUUGUUUAAUUUCUCCUCUUGUCUGGAUGCUUAUAAGAGAGGACAGAGCUUAUAACAAGGAUUGACAGGGAGCUAAGGUGGAGGCGCUCUGUUCAGUGAUAAAGAUAUGUGGAUUUCUACAUUUAUUUAAUAUUUUUCACAUUUUACAAAUAUGUAUUUGUUAACUAUAGGGAAUAUAUAUGUUAACUAUAGGGGAUGUAUAUUGUUAACUAUAGGGUCCGGUGGCCGGAGGGUGGGAAGGGGGGACAGGCAUACUUGAGUUUUACUUACCUGAACCACCUGUCACCGCCAUCCUCUUCCGUCUGCUCCACUUCAGCUGAUGUGAGUGCUGUACUCUUGCGCAUGCAUGACAGUACAGCAUUGAAGUCUAUGGAGAGACCAUUAGAUCCUCCAUGGAAAGAGUUUAAUUUCGGCUAGGGGAAAUGACAAGCUUGACGGCGGUAGCUCAGCCUGGUCUAAAGCUUUGUCAGCUAAAGGAAAAACACUGAGACAAAGUAGUCCUUACUUUGUCUCAGUAUAUCUUUUCACUGGGUUGGAAUUUUAAUAGUCAUGAAGAAAGUUACAUCGAGAUUAUUGAUACGUUGGGAAUCGUCAACCCUGGUCUGGAGGCACCAUGGAUGAAAAUUUUAGUGAGGGCUACUCAAUUUUAUGUAUAUUGAAUUGGGUUGAAAUUUCAGUGACAUUCCAACACAGUCAAUCUGAGUAUUUCAUAAAGAUUCAUAAACAUUCUGAUGCUUUAAGGAUAACUUGCAUGUUUCUUGAUUUUGUAUUCAUUAUAACAGGAGACUUAUCAAGGCCAAAAACUGCUAUUCUGGGACAAAGUGUUAAAUAAGAACAAAUACGUCAUUAAAUAUUUAACAUUUUGCACCCAGAAUAGCACCUAUUUUAUAUUCAUGGUUUAACUUUGCCAGGAAAUGAUGAAGUAAGAGAAAACAUACAUGCAUAUUGAUAUGACUGAGUCAAUUUAUUUGGUAUAUCACUCAAUGGACCAAUUCGAAAUUUAGAUCCGAAAAGUAGAAACAAACUUUUUAUUAAGAAACCAUCAUGAGUGCACAGUGUGUUGUGUUGGUUUUGGCGCCAGGAGUCCCAGAGUGCCGUCUGAUGGUAAUCUGUAAAAACAUUUACAAAGGUUUGACAUUUAGUUGUCUUGGUAGGGUUCAUAUCGUCCUUCUGAGCUGAGUUCAUCUGAUAAUGUAGAAGUUAUAACUGCUAUAUUUUUAUACCUACAGAUAAGGUUUGGACAAUCUUUGUUUGCUGAAAGUUCCAAUACCAGUGUCUGUCUUUAUUUCAAUGUUAGCCUCUGUCUCUAUUUCAAUACUAUCUUUUCCUCGAAAUUCGGUGCCAGACACCGUAUCUAUUUCCAUGCUAGCCUCUCUAUGUUAGUAUCUGUCUUUAUUUCAAUGAUAGCCUCUGCCGUUCUUUCCUCACCAUAGUGUUCCAGUCUGGUUCUGGUUUCUCUCUCUCUCUCUCUCGGCAGUCAGGGAGGUGCCAAAACGUUGGGGGUUUUGUGGCUAGUAUCCUGUCCUCUAUAUGUGUCUUAGCCUUUAUACACUGUUUCUUAGUUUUUGGUAACUUUGUAUAUAUAAUAUGUUUUUUAUUAAGCAUCCUUGAAUAAAGUAUUUAAUUUUAUGAAGCUAUUGCAUUGUGCAUCCUGAUUUUUGUAAAUAUAUAUAUGACUAUUUAAAGUAUUUAGGGGAGUGCCUAUUUAGGUUUGCACUUUGUGUACUUUUGAGUUAUAUGGUAUACCCUCAAUGCGAUAUUGUUGUUGCAAUAUGUAUGGUGGAACAUAAGACAUGAGAGCGUGACAGAGAUGGUGGCCACAUGUGAUGACUUUCGUAAAUGUAUGUGGCCCAUCAUCGCCGCUUUUGAAACUUGGUGUUCUAGGAGUUAUUAGUAACUAGCAAAAUUUAAAAGACAAAUACCAUGUCACAAAGAAUAUACAAAGCAUCAUUACCGCUACAGCCUACCGUAGUGAUUACGGUUCCACGACUGCCCUGGCAUUAUCUCACGGUAAGAUGUGAAAUCUUUUUAGUAUUGUUUAACAACUUUCUGGAUCCCACCAGGCUCUCUGCACCACAUCAGGACUUCUCUAACAGUAAAAAACAGAUCUCUUUAGAUCAAAGCAGGAACCGCGCUCAUUGACUGAGAACGUCAGCUGAGCACGCUCGGCAAGUGAGUGUUUCUGCACCGGUCCUGCUUUGCUCUAAAGAGAAUUCUGGCUUUUCCUGCUGAAGACGAAUGGAUGCUCUGGACACAUCACAGGCGCCUAGUGAAAUUCACGUGAAUUGUCCGAUAACAUUUUCACAUCUUACUGUAUGAUGGCUCUAAAGCACUCUCGGUGCCAUAACCACCACAGCAGGCUUUAAUGGUUCUGGUGCUUGGAGUGUUCUUUUAACUUUCUCGUUGACUAAUAAUACCAAACUUUACGUAUAUUUUGCACUCAAGCAAGGCAUGCAAAGAAAUGCAGACAGUAGGAGUGCUUGUGGGUAUCACUCUUCUCAUUGUUUUUCAUCUCUUCCCUUUUCCAGAUUAAAAAUAAAAAAGAGUUGUAUAAUGCAGCCUAGACAUAAGAAGAAAGCAAGACUGGUGAC